UCUCUGCAAGUUGAACGAGUGGAUUACUCAAAUCGAUUGUGCCAACUAAACAGACUUUUUGGGAUAUAAAGAAGGAUUUUAUCUAACAAAACGACACUACAUGUUAUAACUGGGAUCCAUAGGAUGACACAUCAGAGGAAGAUUUUCAAAAAAGAUUGGAGAUGUAAGAGAAAUAGAGAUGGAGAGAGAAACAUCAAAUAAAGCGUCCUGCCUCUGUGCGACUGUCACAAUUUCUAUAGGAGCGCUCUUUCCACAACAGUCCACAAACACUCCCUCCACUCGCACGCGACCGAGUAGUCCGACCUCCUCAUUUAAAGCCACGAG
RNAcentral lists this long non-coding RNA (324 nucleotides) under Salmo salar (Atlantic salmon). RNAcentral describes it as "lncRNA (ENSSSAG00000118657.1)". The record is from RNAcentral. Lineage: Eukaryota; Metazoa; Chordata; Actinopteri; Salmoniformes; Salmonidae.